UCAAGGCCGCCUGGGGUAAGGUCGGCGCGCACGCUGGCGAGUAUGGUGCGGAGGCCCUGGAAAGGAUGUUCCUGUCCUUCCCCACCACCAAGACUUACUUCCCGCACUUCGACCUGAGCCACGGCUCUGCCCAGGUUAAGGGCCACGGCAAGAAGGUGGCCGACGCGCUGACCAACGCCGUGGCGCACGUGGACGACAUGCCCAACGCGCUGUCCGCCCUGAGUGACCUGCACGCGCACAAGCUUCGGGUGGACCCGGUCAACUUCAAGGUGAGCGGCGGGCCGGGAGCGAUCUGGGUCGAGGGGCGAGAUGGCGCCUUCCUCGCAGGGCAGAGGAUCACGCGGGGUGCGGGAGGUGUAGCGCAGGCGGCGGCUGCGGGCCUGGGCUCCACUGACCCUCUUCU
This 403-nucleotide small RNA is filed under the name Pan troglodytes (chimpanzee). Its description in RNAcentral is "retained intron". Lineage: Eukaryota; Metazoa; Chordata; Mammalia; Primates; Hominidae. The record is from RNAcentral.